UUAAUGUGCCUACUGGAAAAAGGAAAAUUACAUAGGCGUUCACAUCAUCAUGUCCUAUUUAUUAGCCAGCACUGACCAAGAUCUUCACACCCUUGGGAUAGGUCCAGUUCUCUAUGUUCCAAACCACCUCUAUGUUCCAAAAGGGGGUGGUGGCGAACUGGCGAUUCUGAAUGAGGAGUCAGCAGCUGUGAAGAGAGGAGACAGAUAAGUGAUGGGGGAGGAGGGACAUAGGAGGGAUGGGCCUUGGUGAAGAGGGAGAAAGCAAGACAGGAGGAAGGGAUGGAAGAAAAAGAAUAAGGAACAAGGGGCUAGGGAAAGGAACAAGGCCAAGUUCCAUGAUACCAGUGACCGUAUACCUAUGUCUUAUCCAUUCAUUCAACAAGUAUUGAGUGCAUGCCCCUAUUCUAGGUACUGAGGCUAUAGCGAGGAACAAAAGAAAGAAGAUCCCUGCUCUUAACAUGCCUGCAUUAAAGAGAGACAAAUGUCAAGCAGGAAUAAGUGGUAUGUGGAGUAUACAUGUUUUGCAUUCCAAAUUCACCCUUUUGCAAAUCAAACUCACCUUAGGGGUGACAAUAGAGACCCUGAAAAUGGAUAUAUCACCACAUAUUGAAUCAAGCUCCGGAAGUCCACUACAAACACAUUUGCACUGGCGAACGCAAAUCACAUCGUCUGAAUCAUCGAGAUCCAGAUCAAGAAACCCCAUUGUUGGACACAAUAAUCCACCUAGAUACAAUCGUAUCAGUCAUGAUAAAAAAAAAGGUGUUAAUAAAAUGUCAUGAAGAUAGAAGAACAAUGAAUAAAUCUGCUGAAAUCUCUGGGAUUAAUAAAAAUACAAUAAAGUCUAUUAUUAAUUAAUAUAACAAAUGGCAGUGAAUUGAUAGAAAAAAUGCAUCGCUAUUAAACAAAAUUGACCAAAUAAUUGAGGAAAAUCCGUGCAUAACUUUUACGGGGAAUUCGUGACGUCCUCGAAUCCGAACGUGGAAUUAAGCAUAAAUUUCCUUAGGAAUGGACAGGAAGAAUUAUGGAUCACAUGAAAGUGUGCAUCAUCACUACUAGUUGAUUGUCGAAAGUCAGCACAAUUGAGAUGUGCAAAGUGUACGCAUGAAUUUUUCUUGAAACGCCCCCUAAGCAAGACGAAAAACAAUAAUAUUCAUUGAUGAAUCAGGAUUUAAUUGCCAUCUUCAGCGAACGAAGGUGAAAUCGAAAGUUAAUACACCAGCUCAUGGGACCGUGCCUACAUAGGACGAAAUGUUUAAUUACAGCAAUAAACAUUCAGGGAAUGGUCUGGCAUGAAGUAAUUGCACAUUCUAUGGUUACUUCAAAUAUUUUUUGCGAAUUUCUUCAGAUUAUUGCAGAAAUUGGAUGAAGACAAUCUGGAGGAAGUGUGGUUUGUUUUGGACAAUGUAAGCCUCCACAAAACCACAAAACUUGUUGGUCAGACAAGAUUAUUAUUUCUACCACCAUACUCUCCAAUGAUGAACCCCAUUGAAGUUUUUUCAAAAAUUAAGUUCUGCGCAAGAAAUAUUUUGGCUGAUCCAUCAAACCAUGAGCAUUUAGUAGAUGUUAUUGAUCAUUCUGUUGCAACUAUUACUCUUACAGGGUUGUCAUAAUUAUUUUAUGAAUAUGUAUACGAAACUACCAGGAGCAGCGGCAAGAAAACCGUUAUAAAUGAAGCUACAGUAAGUAUUUCUGAUGUUAAAAAAGUAUUUUAUGUUUAUUAUUAAAUACAUGCAAUAAAAUGUUUAAUUUUAAG
RNAcentral lists this long non-coding RNA (1753 nucleotides) under Rhinolophus ferrumequinum (greater horseshoe bat). Its description in RNAcentral is "lncRNA (ENSRFEG00010018311.1)". Lineage: Eukaryota; Metazoa; Chordata; Mammalia; Chiroptera; Rhinolophidae. The record is from RNAcentral.